RNAcentral lists this ribosomal RNA (388 nucleotides) under uncultured bacterium. RNAcentral describes it as "bacterial SSU rRNA". It matches the Rfam family "Bacterial small subunit ribosomal RNA", at positions 30 to 417 of the family's 1533-position model. The record is from RNAcentral.
AUUGAACGCUGGCGGCAUGCCUUACACAUGCAAGUCGAACGGCAGCACGGGCUUCGGUCUGGUGGCGAGUGGCGAACGGGUGAGUAAUGUAUCGGAACGUACCUUUCAGUGGGGGGAUAACGUAGCGAAAGUUACGCUAAUACCGCAUAUUCUGUGAGCAGGAAAGCAGGGGAUCGCAAGACCUUGCGCUGAUUGAGCGGCCGAUAUCAGAUUAGCUAGUUGGUGAGGUAAAGGCUCACCAAGGCGACGAUCUGUAGCGGGUCUGAGAGGAUGAUCCGCCACACUGGAACUGAGACACGGUCCAGACUCCUACGGGAGGCAGCAGUGGGGAAUUUUGGACAAUGGGGGCAACCCUGAUCCAGCCAUGCCGCGUGAGUGAAGAAGGCCU